GACGAACGCUGGCGGCGUGCUUAACACAUGCAAGUCGAACGAUGACGCCCGAGCUUGCUCGGUCUGAUUAGUGGCGAACGGGUGAGUAACACGUGAGCAACCUGCCCUUCACUCUGGGAUAACCUCGGGAAAUCGGGGCUAAUACCGGAUAUGAGCUCCUGUCGCAUGGCGGGUGUUGGAAAGUUUUUCGGUGAAGGAUGGGCUCGCGGCCUAUUAGUUUGUUGGUGAGGUAGUGGCUCACCAAGGCGAUGACGGGUAGCCGGCCUGAGAGGGCGACCGGCCACACUGGGACUGAGACACGGCCCAGACUCCUACGGGAGGCAGCAGUGGGGAAUAUUGCACAAUGGGCGAAAGCCUGAUGCAGCGACGCCGCGUGAGGGAUGACGGCCUUCGGGUUGUAAACCUCUUUCAGCAGGGAAGAAGCGAAAGUGACGGUACCUGCAGAAGAAGCGCCGGCUAACUACGUG
Molecule: ribosomal RNA, 467 nt
Filed under: uncultured bacterium
Lineage: Bacteria
Description: partial 16S ribosomal RNA
Rfam family: Bacterial small subunit ribosomal RNA
Source: RNAcentral